GGGUGAGUAACACGUAUGCAACCUGCCCCUGUCAGGGGGACAACCCGCCGAAAGGCGGGCUAAACCCGCGUACAUGCCACCGGGGCAUCCCGGAGGCAGGAAAGGCUUCGGCCGGACAGGGAUGGGCAUGCGGCGCAUUAGGCAGUAGGCGGGGUAACGGCCCACCUAACCGACGAUGCGUAGGGGUUCUGAGAGGAAGGUCCCCCACACUGGUACUGAGACACGGACCAGACUCCUACGGGAGGCAGCAGUGAGGAAUAUUGGUCAAUGGUCGGGAGACUGAACCAGCCAAGCCGCGUGAGGGAUGAAGGUACAGAGUAUCGUAAACCUCUUUUGUCAGGGAACAAAGGCGGGGACGUGUCCCCGGAUGAGUGUACCUGAAGAAAAAGCAUCGGCUAACUCCGUGCCAGCAGCCGCGGUAAUACGGAGGAUGCGAGCGUUAUCCGGAUUUAUUGGGUUUAAAGGGUGCGCAGGCGGUCUGUUAAGUCAGCGGUCAAAGCCCGGGGCUCAACCCCGGCCCGCCGUUGAAACUGGCAGUCUCGAGUUGGAGAGAAGUAUGCGGAAUGCGCGGUGUAGCGGUGAAAUGCAUAGAUAUCGCGCAGAACUCCGAUCGCGAAGGCAGCAUGCCGGCUCCACACUGACGCUGAGGCACGAAAGCGUGGGUAUCGAACAGGAUUAGAUACCCUGGUAGUCCACGCAGUAA
Molecule: ribosomal RNA, 703 nt
Filed under: uncultured bacterium
Lineage: Bacteria
Description: bacterial SSU rRNA
Rfam family: Bacterial small subunit ribosomal RNA
Source: RNAcentral